RNAcentral lists this ribosomal RNA (997 nucleotides) under Neofusicoccum parvum. Its description in RNAcentral is "SSU rRNA". It matches the Rfam family "Eukaryotic small subunit ribosomal RNA", at positions 89 to 1094 of the family's 1831-position model. Lineage: Eukaryota; Fungi; Ascomycota; Dothideomycetes; Botryosphaeriales; Botryosphaeriaceae. The record is from RNAcentral.
GCGAAUGGCUCAUUAAAUCAGUUAUCGUUUAUUUGAUAGUACCUUACUACUUGGAUAACCGUGGUAAUUCUAGAGCUAAUACAUGCUAAAAACCCCGACUUCGGAAGGGGUGUAUUUAUUAGAUAAAAAACCAAUGCCCUUCGGGGCUCCUUGGUGAUUCAUGAUAACUUAACGAAUCGCAUGGCCUUGCGCCGGCGAUGGUUCAUUCAAAUUUCUGCCCUAUCAACUUUCGAUGGUAGGAUAGUGGCCUACCAUGGUAUCAACGGGUAACGGGGAAUUAGGGUUCUAUUCCGGAGAGGGAGCCUGAGAAACGGCUACCACAUCCAAGGAAGGCAGCAGGCGCGCAAAUUACCCAAUCCCGACACGGGGAGGUAGUGACAAUAAAUACUGAUACAGGGCUCUUUUGGGUCUUGUAAUUGGAAUGAGUACAAUUUAAAUACCUUAACGAGGAACAAUUGGAGGGCAAGUCUGGUGCCAGCAGCCGCGGUAAUUCCAGCUCCAAUAGCGUAUAUUAAAGUUGUUGCAGUUAAAAAGCUCGUAGUUGAACCUUGGGCCUGGCUGGCCGGUCCGCCUCACCGCGUGUACUGGUCCGGCCGGGCCUUUCCUUCUGGGGAUCCUCAUGCCCUUCACUGGGUGUGCUGGGGAACCAGGACUUUUACUUUGAAAAAAUUAGAGUGUUCAAAGCAGGCCUUUGCUCGAAUACAUUAGCAUGGAAUAAUAGAAUAGGACGUGCGGUCCUAUUUUGUUGGUUUCUAGGACCGCCGUAAUGAUUAAUAGGGAUAGUCGGGGGCAUCAGUAUUCAAUUGUCAGAGGUGAAAUUCUUGGAUUUAUUGAAGACUAACUACUGCGAAAGCAUUUGCCAAGGAUGUUUUCAUUAAUCAGUGAACGAAAGUUAGGGGAUCGAAGACGAUCAGAUACCGUCGUAGUCUUAACCGUAAACUAUGCCGACUAGGGAUCGGGCGAUGUUAUUCUUUUGACUCGCUCGGCACCUUACGAG